RNAcentral lists this ribosomal RNA (461 nucleotides) under uncultured Bacteroidota bacterium. Its description in RNAcentral is "bacterial SSU rRNA". It matches the Rfam family "Bacterial small subunit ribosomal RNA", at positions 338 to 795 of the family's 1533-position model. Lineage: Bacteria; Pseudomonadati; Bacteroidota. The record is from RNAcentral.
CCUACGGGCGGCUGCAGUGAGGAAUAUUGGUCAAUGGGCGCAAGCCUGAACCAGCCAUCCCGCGUGCAGGAAGACGGCGCUAUGCGUUGUAAACUGCUUUUCCAGGGAGAGAAACUUGCGCACGUGUUGCGCAAUUGACGGUACCCUGGGAAUAAGCAUCGGCUAACUCCGUGCCAGCAGCCGCGGUAAUACGGAGGAUGCGAGCGUUAUCCGGAUUCAUUGGGUUUAAAGGGUGCGUAGGCGGACUAUUAAGUCAGUGGUGAAAUCCUGCAGCUUAACUGCAGAACUGCCAUUGAUACUGAUAGCCUUGAGUUUGGUUAAGGUAGGCGGAAUGUGUAAUGUAGCGGUGAAAUGCUUAGAUAUUACACAGAACACCAAUUGCGUAGGCAGCUUACUGAGCCGACACUGACGCUGAGGCACGAAAGCGUGGGGAUCGAACAGGAUUAGAUACCCCGGUAGUC